AUGCAUGAGUAUUGUGAGAUCCCUGGACGUAAAAGUGUCCUGAGCUGCGAAGAGGGGGCUGAGAUAAUGAUAAUGACCACUCUGAAGUUAUCUAAGCUUCGCAGUAGAGUGAUCUUGAUGCGUUCAUUUAACAAAGUUGUCAAGCUGCAUGCUGGACAUUUUGUUUUUGCUGGAAACUUUUCCUCAAAGAACUUCCAAAUCUAUCGAGAUGACUCUGUCAAGUUGGAUGGGCUUGCUGAGGGCGCGAUAGUGGACUAUAGUGAGGCUGUCGGGGACCUCAACUACGAGCAAUUCAUUCAUAUGGUUGUAGAGGAGGUGUUUCUUGGGCAGAUGCUAUCAGUUGAACUGACCGAGUAG
Molecule: ribosomal RNA, 357 nt
Filed under: Triticum aestivum (bread wheat)
Lineage: Eukaryota; Viridiplantae; Streptophyta; Magnoliopsida; Poales; Poaceae
Description: partial small subunit ribosomal RNA
Source: RNAcentral